This 309-nucleotide long non-coding RNA is filed under the name Cicer arietinum (chickpea). Its description in RNAcentral is "long non-coding RNA (CARI_LNC002789)". The record is from RNAcentral. Lineage: Eukaryota; Viridiplantae; Streptophyta; Magnoliopsida; Fabales; Fabaceae.
UUUCUUCUUCAGAAACUUCUUAAAUUUCUUGACAAGUGAUUCGAUUUCAGUCUCUUCUUUUUCACUGCUGGAUCCAUCUGAGUAGCUAUCGGAUUCAGGUUUAGAUUGCUUGGUUUGUACUUUCAAGCAUAAUCCUUUCUUUUUCCUGCUUUCCAUUUCGGAUUCAUCCAGUCGUUGUAAUUCCAUUUCAUGUUCCCUUAAUUUUCCAAAUAAUGUUGCUGUCGUCAUCUUUGCUAGAUCCUUAGACUCAGCUAUUGCGGUAAUUUUGGGCUGCCAUUCUCUGGUUAAACAUCUCAUGAUCUUUCCAAU